CGCUUCUUUCCUCCCGAGUGCUUGCACUCAAUUGGAAAGAGGAGUGGCGGACGGGUGAGUAACACGUGGGUAACCUACCCAUCAGAGGGGGAUAACACUUGGAAACAGGUGCUAAUACCGCAUAACAGUUUAUGCCGCAUGGCAUAAGAGUGAAAGGCGCUUUCGGGUGUCGCUGAUGGAUGGACCCGCGGUGCAUUAGCUAGUUGGUGAGGUAACGGCUCACCAAGGCCACGAUGCAUAGCCGACCUGAGAGGGUGAUCGGCCACACUGGGACUGAGACACGGCCCAGACUCCUACGGGAGGCAGCAGUAGGGAAUCUUCGGCAAUGGACGAAAGUCUGACCGAGCAACGCCGCGUGAGUGAAGAAGGUUUUCGGAUCGUAAAACUCUGUUGUUAGAGAAGAACAAGGACGUUAGUAACUGAACGUCCCCUGACGGUAUCUAACCAGAAAGCCACGGCUAACUACGUGCCA
Molecule: ribosomal RNA, 472 nt
Filed under: Enterococcus faecalis
Lineage: Bacteria; Bacillati; Bacillota; Bacilli; Lactobacillales; Enterococcaceae
Description: bacterial SSU rRNA
Rfam family: Bacterial small subunit ribosomal RNA
Source: RNAcentral